Molecule: ribosomal RNA, 497 nt
Filed under: uncultured bacterium
Lineage: Bacteria
Description: partial 16S ribosomal RNA
Rfam family: Bacterial small subunit ribosomal RNA
Source: RNAcentral
GAUGAACGCUGGCGGCGUGCCUAAUACAUGCAAGUCGAGCGAACAGACGAGGAGCUUGCUCCUCUGACGUUAGCGGCGGACGGGUGAGUAACACGUGGAUAACCUACCUAUAAGACUGGGAUAACUUCGGGAAACCGGAGCUAAUACCGGAUAAUAUAUUGAACCGCAUGGUUCAAUAGUGAAAGACGGUUUUGCUGUCGCUUAUAGAUGGAUCCGCGCCGCAUUAGCUAGUUGGUAAGGUAACGGCUUACCAAGGCAACGAUGCGUAGCCGACCUGAGAGGGUGAUAGGCCACACUGGAACUGAGACACGGUCCAGACUCCUACGGGAGGCAGCAGUAGGGAAUCUUCCGCAAUGGGCGAAAGCCUGACGGAGCAACGCCGCGUGAGUGAUGAAGGUCUUCGGAUCGUAAAACUCUGUUAUUAGGGAAGAACAAAUGUGUAAGUAACUAUGCACGUCUUGACGGUACCUAAUCAGAAAGCCACGGCUAACUACGUG